Molecule: ribosomal RNA, 538 nt
Filed under: Halorubrum sp.
Lineage: Archaea; Methanobacteriati; Methanobacteriota; Halobacteria; Halobacteriales; Haloferacaceae
Description: bacterial SSU rRNA
Rfam family: Archaeal small subunit ribosomal RNA
Source: RNAcentral
CACCCCUUUACGGGGUUUCCAGCCGGGCGCGAAACCUUUACACUGCACGACAGUGCGAUAGGGGGAUCCCAAGUGCACAGGCAUAGCGCCUGUGCUUUUCGGUACCCUAAGGCGGUACCAGAAUAAGGGCUGGGCAAGACCGGUGCCAGCCGCCGCGGUAAUACCGGCAGCCCAAGUGAUGGCCGAUCUUAUUGGGCCUAAAGCGUCCGUAGCUGGCCACGCAAGUCCAUCGGGAAAUCCACCUGCCCAACAGGUGGACGCCCGGUAGAAACUGCGUGGCUUGGGACCGGAAGGCGCGACGGGUACGUCCGGGGUAGGAGUGAAAUCCCGUAAUCCUGGACGGACCGCCGAUGGCGAAAGCACGUCGCGAGAACGGAUCCGACAGUGAGGGACGAAAGCCAGGGUCUCGAACCGGAUUAGAUACCCGGGUAGUCCUGGCCGUAAACAAUGCCUGCUAGGUGUGGCUCCCACUACGAGUGGGUGCUGUGCCGUAGGGAAGCCGCUAAGCAGGCCGCCUGGAAGUACUCGGAAUGGACCC